GAUGAACGCUGGCGGCGUGCCUAAUACAUGCAAGUCGAGCGAACGGACGAGAAGCUUGCUUCUCUGAUGUUAGCGGCGGACGGGUGAGUAACACGUGGAUAACCUACCUAUAAGACUGGGAUAACUUCGGGAAACCGGAGCUAAUACCGGAUAAUAUUUUGAACCGCAUGGUUCAAAAGUGAAAGACGGUCUUGCUGUCACUUAUAGAUGGAUCCGCGCUGCAUUAGCUAGUUGGUAAGGUAACGGCUUACCAAGGCAACGAUGCAUAGCCGACCUGAGAGGGUGAUCGGCCACACUGGAACUGAGACACGGUCCAGACUCCUACGGGAGGCAGCAGUAGGGAAUCUUCCGCAAUGGGCGAAAGCCUGACGGAGCAACGCCGCGUGAGUGAUGAAGGUCUUCGGAUCGUAAAACUCUGUUAUUAGGGAAGAACAUAUGUGUAAGUAACUGUGCACAUCUUGACGGUACCUAAUCAGAAAGCCACGGCUAACUACGUGCCAGCAGCCGCGGUAAUACGUAGGUGGCAAGCGUUAUCCGGAAUUAUUGGGCGUAAAGGCGCGCGUAGGCGGUUUUUUAAGUCUGAUGUGAAAGCCCACGGCUCAACCCGUGGAGGGUCAUUGGAAACUGGAAAACUUGAGUGCAGAAGAGGAAAGUGGAAUUCCAUGUGUAGCGGUGAAAUGCGCAGAGAUAUGGAGGAACACCAGUGGCGAAGGCGACUUUCUGGUCUGUAACUGACGCUGAUGUGCGAAAGCGUGGGGAUCAAACAGGAUUAGAUACCCUGGUAGUCCACGCCGUAAACGAUGAGUGCUAAGUGUUAGGGGGUUUCCGCCCCUUAGUGCUGCAGCUAACGCAUUAAGCACUCCGCCUGGGGAGUACGACCGCAAGGUUGAAACUCAAAGGAAUUGACGGGGACCCGCACAAGCGGUGGAGCAUGUGGUUUAAUUCGAAGCAACGCGAAGAACCUUACCAAAUCUUGACAUCCUUUGACAACUCUAGAGAUAGAGCCUUCCCCUUCGGGGGACAAAGUGACAGGUGGUGCAUGGUUGUCGUCAGCUCGUGUCGUGAGAUGUUGGGUUAAGUCCCGCAACGAGCGCAACCCUUAAGCUUAGUUGCCAUCAUUAAGUUGGGCACUCUAAGUUGACUGCCGGUGACAAACCGGAGGAAGGUGGGGAUGACGUCAAAUCAUCAUGCCCCUUAUGAUUUGGGCUACACACGUGCUACAAUGGACAAUACAAAGGGCAGCGAAACCGCGAGGUCAAGCAAAUCCCAUAAAGUUGUUCUCAGUUCGGAUUGUAGUCUGCAACUCGACUACAUGAAGCUGGAAUCGCUAGUAAUCGUAGAUCAGCAUGCUACGGUGAAUACGUUCCCGGGUCU
This 1374-nucleotide ribosomal RNA is filed under the name uncultured bacterium. RNAcentral's name for it is "bacterial SSU rRNA". It matches the Rfam family "Bacterial small subunit ribosomal RNA", at positions 28 to 1381 of the family's 1533-position model. The record is from RNAcentral.